GUAGGUGGCAAGCGUUGUCCGGAAUUAUUGGGCGUAAAGCGCGCGCAGGCGGCUCUUUAAGUCUGAUGUGAAAGCCCACGGCUCAACCGUGGAGGGUCAUUGGAAACUGGAGAACUUGAGUACAGAAGAGGAAAGCGGAAUUCCACGUGUAGCGGUGAAAUGCGUAGAGAUGUGGAGGAACACCAGUGGCGAAGGCGGCUUUCUGGUCUGUAACUGACGCUGAGGCGCGAAAGCGUGGGGAGCAAACAGGAUUAGAUACCCUGGUAGUCCACGCCGUAAACGAUGAGUGCUAAGUGUUAGGGGGGUUUUCCGCCCCCCUUAGUGCUGCAGCUAACGCAUUAAGCACUCCGCCUGGGAGUACGGCCGCAAGGCUG
This 374-nucleotide ribosomal RNA is filed under the name uncultured organism. RNAcentral describes it as "partial 16S ribosomal RNA". It matches the Rfam family "Bacterial small subunit ribosomal RNA", at positions 527 to 896 of the family's 1533-position model. The record is from RNAcentral.